GGAGGGCAGCUUCUUCACUAACCCGCCGUUGCUCUCCCAGUCCACCUGGGGUAGACGAGCGGGGUGUGCAGGGCAGGAGAGGAAAGAAAAGGCAGUGAGUGAAAGCGAGGACUGGAAAGUAAGAGGGAGGCAGCUGCCAGCAGAAGGAGAGAGGGAAGAAGAGAAAAAAGAGAAGCACCUCCAUGGAACCAGAGCAUACAAAGUAGAUGGCCUGCAGUGCAUCUCCUUGGCGGAUGAGGAACUCCCCUGGUGCACAGAAUGAUGUCUUGAUUAUGAGGGACAGGGAGCGCAGGCACCCCCUGCUGGCCGACUCAAACAGCGGCAGCUGCAGCAGCUCCUUGUUCAGGUGCAUGGCAAUGUCAGCACGCAGCUCAUCUGGGAAGUCCUUCAGCAACUGCAAGAGAAAAGGAGAACAUCCAAAAUCUCCCUCUCCAGGAGACAGAAAAUGGUAUGGGUGGUUAGAGAAGGACUGCAUCCCCAAAGUGCAUAAGCAGCUGGAUGAUGGAUGGACAGGAGGAAGAUGAUUAUAGCAGGAAAGCAGAAUGAAUUCGAGGGACCUUGCACAGGAAACAGACUCAAGUCAAAGAAUGACUGAUAUGACGAGACUCAACCAAUGCAUAAUAAAUCGGAUCUGGAAGCUGAGAAGGGUAAGAAUGAUAAUGCAGGGAGUCGAACUGGGGCUGUGAAAGUUGACACGGCCCACCUCUCCGACAUCAAUGCCGUUGUUGACGGACCAGGUGGUCUGGAAGCACUCCAGCAUGCGCUGCUCCAGGGCCUUGGGCAGCCGAUGCACGCGAAUGAAGUCCUUCAGGUCCUUGGUGCGCGUGUGGUAGAGCGAGCGGCGUGAGUACAUGCGCUGGAUGAUGGCCGUCACGUUGCCAAAGACCACAGCGUGCAUCAGUGCUGUGGGGACAAGCGGAGCAGACAGCUUCAGCUUAUGCUGAUGGUCCCAGAAGCGCGUGUCCACGGGACUGUCGGCGCUACCACUUCGAAAAUUACUAUCCCAACGUUUAAAUAAAAAGCUAGUGGUUAAACAGUAUGGACUUUAUAUAAACCCCCCCCUAUGAUCUGGGGCUGGGAAUCUCUGGAUCAGGCCAGCAGGAAAUGUUAUAGAUCAGUGAUUUGUUGCUAAAAUUGUCCUAAAUCCCAACCUACCCAUAAAAUCAGGAUUGAUCAACUUCUUACAAAAUACUAUAGAUGACACAUUUAACGUAUUAAAAUUCUCCAGAGGUCUCACCUUUGUGUGAUUGCCUGUUAAACUCUAAGUUACCGAUCUUUUCAUAAGCAAAGGAGAAUAGUGUGUUUUUUCCCCAUCUGCUAAUUUCAUUGAUUUUAUUCUUUCAGUCUAAAUUGCCAUUUACCCUAAUUAAGACCAAUCAAUAAUUCAGUUACUUAAUCAGGCCAUUAAUCAUUAAUGAAUCUAUUUAAGAUUGACCAUUUUAAAACCGUAUUAUUUAUUGUUAUAAUCAGAAGCACUAAUAAAAAUGUGUUCCUCAAAAAAGCUUUCACACGGAAUUCAUUCAUACUAACGUUUGUGAAAUCAUAGCCGAAUUUCGAAAUGCCUUAUUAAGGAUUUGGUUAUAAUUCGCAUCCCUUCUCCACGAACCAGAUUAUUCUAGCAUUAUUUAUCUUAUCUUUAUUUUAAAGAGCUAUGAUGUUCAUGUUUUCAGAAGACAAAAUGUCUUUCACGGGCAACUCUGGAAAGCCCUUAACAGUACGUAAUCCAGUCAUCACUGCAGGGGUAGCAGCUGGCUGGCCUUCACAUAGUCAUUGUUUUAAAACUGAUUUCCUCAUUUUGCAGGGUAAUCAUAGGUCUUAAGCAUAGGAUGUCACACUACAUUCCCCAUAUUCUAAAAACAAUAAAAUGUUAUUAUGUUA
Brienomyrus brachyistius is the source of this 1878-nucleotide long non-coding RNA. RefSeq lists it as uncharacterized. The record is from RefSeq and is a predicted model, not a curated record. The transcript is spliced from 3 exons. NCBI's taxonomy places the organism in Eukaryota, Metazoa, Chordata, Actinopteri, Osteoglossiformes, Mormyridae.